This 369-nucleotide ribosomal RNA is filed under the name Nucella heyseana. RNAcentral's name for it is "partial 12S ribosomal RNA". The record is from RNAcentral. Lineage: Eukaryota; Metazoa; Mollusca; Gastropoda; Neogastropoda; Muricidae.
UUGGCCGUAAAUAAAUUAAAUUUACCAGAGUACUAUGAACUAAAAAGUUUAAAACUCAAAGAGCUUGGCGGUGUUUUAGACCUCUCAGGGGAACCUGUCUCAUAAUCGACAAUCCACGCUAUACCUAACCUUAUUUCGCCUUUACAGUUUGUAUACCGUCGUCGUCAGGUAACUUUUAAAAAUUUAGAAGUUAGCAAAAAAGCUAUAUAAGCUUAUACGUCAGAUCAAGGUGCAGCUCAUAUUAAGGUGAGGAUGGGUUACAAUUAUAAAAUCAUAACUACGAAGUAAUUAUAAUAAUAUGUAAUUAUAAGGAGGACUUGAAAGUAAAUUAAAUUAUAAAAACAUUUUGAAUAAGGCUCUGAAACGUGC